UACGUAGGGUGCGAGCGUUAAUCGGAAUUACUGGGCGUAAAGCGUGCGCAGGCGGCUUGCCAAGUCAGAUGUGAAAGCCCCGGGCUCAACCCGGGAACUGCGUUUGAAACUGGCAGGCUAGAGUUUGGCAGAGGGGGGUGGAAUUCCACGUGUAGCAGUGAAAUGCGUAGAGAUGUGGAGGAACACCGAUGGCGAAGGCGGGUCUCUGGGCCGAUACUGACACUGAGAAGCGCAAGCGUGGGGAGCGAACAGG
This 253-nucleotide ribosomal RNA is filed under the name uncultured bacterium. RNAcentral describes it as "partial 16S ribosomal RNA". It matches the Rfam family "Bacterial small subunit ribosomal RNA", at positions 524 to 776 of the family's 1533-position model. The record is from RNAcentral.